UUUUUUUUUUUUUUUUUUUUUUUUUUUUUUUUUUUUUAUGGCAUCGCGCUCCUGGCGCAUUCAGCCAAACGAGUAAAACGGGGAAACGGAAUUAAAGGAUUACAUUAUAACGGAUAUGUCGGAAUUUGGACAAGGAUCAGGGAAUGGUAAUAUAUUAUAAUAAAUUAUAAUUUUAUAUUAUGACGUGAAAGGAAUGAAUACAAUGAUUUAAAUAUAUAUGGAGAAGAAUUAUUAAUAUACAGGAGUGUUCUAAUAGAUGUGGGAAACGGAACUUUUAAAUCUGACAGCUGUCUUAAUAAUAUAGAACGGUCAUAUAGGUUACAAUUACCUGAAAAGAAUAUAUGAUUAAGAUCAGCGGGAUCAGCUCCACAAAUACAUGCGGAACUGGCCACGCGAUUUUGUAGUUUCAGGUGUUCCGGUGUACAUACGUGACCCAAUCUCAUUCGAAUUAACAUACUGGUUGCAGGCUUUGGCAAAGAGAUUUUAGCAAACCAAGGUUUGGCAGGAAUUGAUCUUUGUAUGCUCCGAUAAUGUAACGCAGCGGCACCCGCACCAGAUGCCCAUAAUUUUGUCCAUUCCUUUCUUAGGUAUAUUUUAGGCAGUGCCAACAGGUCUUCCGCAACAUUCUUAAAUGGAAACAUGUCUCCAGAACUAAUGGCAUCUCGAGCUAAGUCAUCCACCCUUUCAUUACCUUUAAUCCCUCUGUGUCCAGGGAUCCAGGCAAUGGAAACCGAGUAACCUUUAAGAUGACAUUUUUGCAGUAGACUACGGAUUUGAUAAAUAAUUGGGUUAUUAGAUUUAGAUUUGAAAGGAAAUUUAGAUAUUGAUUGAAGAGAACUUAAAGAGUCUGAAAAAAUGACUGUUUUUUUAAGAUGCAUUAUGAUGAUAAACUCUAAUGCUUUAAGGAUUCCAAAGCACUCACCACUAUACACAGAGGAUUCUGGAGGCAAUUUUAUCUUUUGGUAAAUAUUAGAUUGAAUGUGAAGCACACCAAUACCGACACAACCAUUGGUGGACAUCUUAGAAGCAUCUGUAUACAUAUGGUUAGCACCCUGACAAUCAGUAUCAAUAAAACUCAGAAAUUGUUGAUUUUGAUCUAUAUCAUUCUUUGAUAUACCUAUAUCCAGGAGAACUGGUGGAACUAGUAUAAGAGACUCAUAUUCAUGCUGAAAAAUGGGAAGUGAUGAAGAGCUAACAGUGGGAGCUGAAAUAGAUUUAAGUUUUUGAAAACUUUUGAUUAAGCAAGGAGGGCUCUUGUGUUUCCAAUAGUUGGAUGUACUUAUUUGAAGUAGAAGGUUAGACAAGAUAAUCCAGAGUUGGUGAUUAGAGAAUUGGGAGCAACGGAAAAUAAAUCUAUCACAAAGAUAUUGGCGUCGUAAAUGGAGCGGAGGCUCACAACACUCAACUUGCAUAGCAUUGAUAGGGCUUGAUUUCAUGGCACCACAAAUUAUUCUCAAGGCUUUAGAUUGAAUAUGAUCUAGUUUUUGGAAGCCAACGACAUAUCCAGGCUCUAACAAAAAUGUCCCAUAAUCUAAAAUGCUUCUUAUUAAGGCAUUGUACAUUAGUUUCAUACAAAAAGGAUGGGAACCCCACCAAACUCCAGAAACACACCUAAGGAUAUUAAUAUUUUUUUCACAUUUAGAAACUAUGUACUCACAAUGUGGGAGACCUGUUAAUUUACUAUCUAAAAUUACACCAAGGAAUUUAGUUUUAUCUUUUACUGAAAUGGAGUAGUUAUCAAAUUGCACUUUGAUUGGAGGAGGAAAUAGUUUUCUAGUAAAUAAAACUACAACACUUUUAGGAACAGAAAGUUCUAAACCAUUAGAAUCUAACCAUGACCUCAAGAAACAUAAGGAACAAGUGACUGAUCUACUAGCCUGUUCAGGAGAAAGAUUUGAUGAAUAAAGUAAUAAAUCAUCGGCAUACUGUAAGACCCUAACAGUACCAUUUAGAGAUGACUCUAAAUCAGAUGUAUAGAUAUUGUAUAAUAAUGGACUUAAUACAGACCCUUGUGGUAGUCCUCUCCACACUAAACGAGAAAUUCUAUUGUUGUCAUUUAUAAGACUGAUGGACCGUUCAGAUAAAAGGUUUAUUACAAAAUGACUUAACAUUUGUGGAAUGCCUAACUUGAAAAGCUUUUCCUGUAACACUGAAACUAAUACAUUAUCAUAAGCAGCACUUAUAUCCAGAAAAGCAGCUACUACUGACUCAUUUUUAGAAAAUGCCAGUCGUAUAUCUGCAAUUAAUAUUGACAAACUAUCAUAAGUAGAUCUACCUUUUCGGAAUCCAAACUGACUAUGAGAUAAUAAAUGGUUCUUUUCAACAAAAAAUUCUAGCCUGUUUUUAAUUAAGUGUUCAGCUACUUUUGCAAAUACUGAGGAAAGGGCAAUAGGGCGAUAGGAAGAAACAUCUGAUGCUGGUUUAUUGGGUUUUAAAAUAGGAAUAACUAUCUGGGAUCUCCAUGAAUCUGGGACUAUACCGGACUGGAUAACCGAAUUUAUUAUGCUCAGAUAAUAAGAAAUACAUCAUCAGCUGCUUCUGUGAUCACCCGGGCCAAAGCAACCGAGCAACCAACUACGUCAGUAUCAUCUAAACUAGGCAAAAACAAUAAUUUCUUCUCUACACAGCAUUUAAAGUUUUUCCAGUCAGCAUUACAUAGAUUGUAUUUAAGCCUAGGGCUAGGUUUCGGAGAUGGUCGUGUAGAUGAAGGAAAUGAGACUAUAAUUGGAAAAUGAUCACUACCAAAUGUAGAAUCUAGAGUUUGCCAGGUGAAAGAAGAUGCCAGUUCAGCAGAGCAAAUGGAUAGAUCAACAGCGCUGGGUGAUUCUGUAGGCGCUGUACGGCGAGUUGGAGAGCCAGUAUUCAGGACACAAAGAUUGUGAUCAUCUAAGAUUUUUAAAACACGAUGUCCAUUAUAGUUGGAUACUGAACUGCCCCAAAACUGAUGGUGUGAAUUGAAAUCUCCUAGAAUCAACAAGGGCCUAGGUAGAGAGGAAAUUAUUUGUUCUAAUUCAUUAAAAAUAGAAGAUGAUUGAUGAGGAAUAUAUACAGAGAGGAUGCAGAUGUUAUUUACAAUGGCAGCAAUAAUUGAAAAAUCAUCACUAUGAGAUGGGAGAUGAAGAGAUGAAAAUGAUUCAGAAUUCCUGACGAGUAAAGCUACUCCACCCCACCCGUCAGGACGGUCCUCUCUGAGGCAUGAAUAGCCAGUAGCUCUUAGAAGAGCUCCAGGCUUGAGCCAUGUCUCAGAUAGGGCAAAAACACAAGGUUUAAAUUUAUUUAGUAAAUGAAUGAAAUCAUGUUUUUUAUUGAUUAUGCUUCUGCAAUUCCAUUGUAUUAUAUUGUCCAUUGUUUUUAAUUGCAAAUGUAAGAGAGUCAAUCAUAGGGGCAACGUGGGACGGUAAAGUAAGGUUUGGCUUGGACAAAAGAGUUCUUAAGGCCUCAAUAGACUCAGCGAUUACUAGUCGUUCUUCCUUUUCUGUUUCCUGACGUAGAGCACAACCGUUUGCAGGAGAAGGGAUGGAGUAUUCACUUAUUAUGGCCCGAUGUGCAGCCACAUCAUAGCCAUGGGUAGUCUUUUUAACAGAAGGACGAGGUUUCAACAAAAUAGUUUUUCUGCUGCUAUGGCUAGGAGGGCGCAUAUUCGAACUAGGGUUUGUAACUGAAUUUUGAGCACUAUUAUGUGGUAAAUUUGAUUGUAUAUGUGGUUGUGACUUAACCAUAUCAGCAAACGAUUUCGAUAUAGCUGGGUGCAGUUUAACGGCUUCUCCAUAGGAGAUGCAGUUAUUUGCCAUACUGACUUUAAUUUCUUUUUGCCUUACAUGUUCUGGGCAUGACCUGUUUGUGGCAAAGUGAAAGCCAUUGCAUAAACAGCAAAUGGCAUCCUCCUCCUCCACUGCACAGGUAUUUCCAGGAUGCAUUUCCCCGCACUUGAAACAUUUAGGCUUCGAACGACAGUUAUUUUUGGUAUGUCCAAAUUUACAGCAUAAAAAGCAUUGAAUGGUAGGAAAAAUGUACAAUUCAACGGCAAGAGAGUUGUAGCAUGAAAAGACUCGUUUCGGUAAUACUUGACCGUCAAAUGUCAAUACAACUGUCUCUGAGGGUUGCCAGGUAACAGAACCGUUAACCACAACUCUGUGGUUCAAACGUCGUACUUUUAAUACUUUUCCACACCCCAUGGGCACGGAAAUGUUGGAAACUAUUUCCUCCUCCGACCACUGUGCUGGAAUACCUCGAACCAAGCCCAUACGGGUCACAGAAAACGACGGAAUGUAUGCGGUAAGAUUUUCUGAUUCAAGACACGUAUCAGUAACAAAUAAGUUUGCGUCAACGUAAUUUGAAAACGACAUCGCUAUACGUGUCCUACCAAUGCGCUUAACACUUCCAUUUAUAAUGUUUCUGAAGCCUUUUUUUAGUAAAAAUUUCCCAAAGGACACCGGGUGCAGAGAUGAUUUUGCAUCUGUUUGUUUCAUUUGUACGUGCACCGUGAAGGGAGCAACAUCGGAAGAUGAAAAUAAAUUCCUGCCAACCUUGGUAUUAGAAGAGUCAUUUUUUGUAUUUAAGUUAUCCGAAGAGUUUUUGGUAACCUGAAUGUUAGAGUUUGAAGGAGCUUGGGUUUCUUGUAUGAUGUUCUGACAAUCGCACGAAUAGUCCCCGCCAUUAUUUUUCCUUCUUUUUUUAUUACAUGUUUUGCAUCUUUUGUGA
Long non-coding RNA from Cydia pomonella (codling moth), 4701 nucleotides. RefSeq lists it as uncharacterized. The transcript has 2 exons. Lineage: Eukaryota; Metazoa; Arthropoda; Insecta; Lepidoptera; Tortricidae. The record is from RefSeq and is a predicted model, not a curated record.